GACGAAAAAUGAAUACCAAGUCUCAAGAGUGAACACGUAAUUCAUUACGAAGUUUAAUUCAUUGAGCAUCAAACUUUUAAAUUGAAGAGUUUGAUCAUGGCUCAGAUUGAACGCUGGCGGCAGGCCUAACACAUGCAAGUCGAACGGUAACAGGAAGCAGCUUGCUGCUUUGCUGACGAGUGGCGGACGGGUGAGUAAUGUCUGGGAAACUGCCUGAUGGAGGGGGAUAACUACUGGAAACGGUGGCUAAUACCGCAUAACGUCGCAAGACCAAAGAGGGGGACCUUCGGGCCUCUUGCCAUCAGAUGUGCCCAGAUGGGAUUAGCUUGUUGGUGAGGUAACGGCUCACCAAGGCGACGAUCCCUAGCUGGUCUGAGAGGAUGACCAGCCACACUGGAACUGAGACACGGUCCAGACUCCUACGGGAGGCAGCAGUGGGGAAUAUUGCACAAUGGGCGCAAGCCUGAUGCAGCCAUGCCGCGUGUAUGAAGAAGGCCUUCGGGUUGUAAAGUACUUUCAGCGGGGAGGAAGGUGUUGUGGUUAAUAACCGCAGCAAUUGACGUUACCCGCAGAAGAAGCACCGGCUAACUCCGUGCCAGCAGCCGCGGUAAUACGGAGGGUGCAAGCGUUAAUCGGAAUUACUGGGCGUAAAGCGCACGCAGGCGGUCUGUCAAGUCGGAUGUGAAAUCCCCGGGCUCAACCUGGGAACUGCAUUCGAAACUGGCAGGCUUGAGUCUUGUAGAGGGGGGUAGAAUUCCAGGUGUAGCGGUGAAAUGCGUAGAGAUCUGGAGGAAUACCGGUGGCGAAGGCGGCCCCCUGGACAAAGACUGACGCUCAGGUGCGAAAGCGUGGGGAGCAAACAGGAUUAGAUACCCUGGUAGUCCACGCCGUAAACGAUGUCUACUUGGAGGUUGUGCCCUUGAGGCGUGGCUUCCGGAGCUAACGCGUUAAGUAGACCGCCUGGGGAGUACGGCCGCAAGGUUAAAACUCAAAUGAAUUGACGGGGGCCCGCACAAGCGGUGGAGCAUGUGGUUUAAUUCGAUGCAACGCGAAGAACCUUACCUGGUCUUGACAUCCACGGAAGUUUUCAGAGAUGAGAAUGUGCCUUCGGGAACCGUGAGACAGGUGCUGCAUGGCUGUCGUCAGCUCGUGUUGUGAAAUGUUGGGUUAAGUCCCGCAACGAGCGCAACCCUUAUCCUUUGUUGCCAGCGGUCCGGCCGGGAACUCAAAGGAGACUGCCAGUGAUAAACUGGAGGAAGGUGGGGAUGACGUCAAGUCAUCAUGGCCCUUACGACCAGGGCUACACACGUGCUACAAUGGCGCAUACAAAGAGAAGCGACCUCGCGAGAGCAAGCGGACCUCAUAAAGUGCGUCGUAGUCCGGAUUGGAGUCUGCAACUCGACUCCAUGAAGUCGGAAUCGCUAGUAAUCGUGGAUCAGAAUGCCACGGUGAAUACGUUCCCGGGCCUUGUACACACCGCCCGUCACACCAUGGGAGUGGGUUGCAAAAGAAGUAGGUAGCUUAACCUUCGGGAGGGCGCUUACCACUUUGUGAUUCAUGACUGGGGUGAAGUCGUAACAAGGUAACCGUAGGGGAACCUGCGGUUGGAUCACCUCCUUACCUUAAAGAANNNNNNNNNNNNNNNNNNNNAGUGCUCACACAGAUUGUCUGAUGAAAA
RNAcentral lists this ribosomal RNA (1678 nucleotides) under Salmonella enterica subsp. enterica serovar Paratyphi A. RNAcentral describes it as "bacterial SSU rRNA". It matches the Rfam family "Bacterial small subunit ribosomal RNA". Lineage: Bacteria; Pseudomonadati; Pseudomonadota; Gammaproteobacteria; Enterobacterales; Enterobacteriaceae. The record is from RNAcentral.